Molecule: long non-coding RNA, 1476 nt
Filed under: Lotus japonicus
Lineage: Eukaryota; Viridiplantae; Streptophyta; Magnoliopsida; Fabales; Fabaceae
Description: long non-coding RNA (LJAP_LNC001074)
Source: RNAcentral
UAAAUUCGUAGUGGAUUAUCUUGUGAUUGAAUCUCCUUAACACCAAGUUUUGAGAUGGGGAGCUGAUCAUUUGACUGAGACUCUUUAGAGUAUUGAAUCCAAAGUGGAUUAUCCUGUGAUUGAAUCUCUUUAACACCAAGGUUUGAGAUGGGGAGUUGAUCAUUUGACUCAGACUCUUUAGUGUAUUGAAUCCAAAGUGGAUUAUCAUGUGAUUGAAUCUCCUUAACACCAAGGUUUGAGAUGGGGAGCUGAUCAUUUGACUGAGACUCUUUAGUGUAUUGAAUCCAAAGUGGAUUAUCCUGUGAUUGAAUCUCCUUAACACCAAGGUUUGAGAUGGGGAGUUGAUCUUUUGAUUGAGACUCUUUAGUGUAUUGAAUCCAAAGUGGAUUAUCCUAUGAUUGAAUCUCCUUAACACCAAGGUUUGAGAUGGGGUGCCGAUCAUUUGACUGAGACUCUUUAGUGUAUUGAAUCCAAAGUGGAUUGUCCUGUGAUUGAAUCUCCUUAACACCAAGGUUUGAGAUGGGGAGCUGAUGAUUUGACUGAGACUCUUUAGUGUAUUGAAUCCAAAGUGGAUUAUCUUGUGAUUGAAUCUCCUUAACACCAAGGUUUGAGAUGGGGAGCUGAUCAUUUGACUGAGACUCUUUGGUGUAUUGAAUCCAAAGUGGAUUAUCUUGUGAUUGAAUCUCUUUAACACCAAGGUUUGAGAUGGAGAGUUGAUCUUUUGACUGAGACUUUUUAGUGUAUUGAAUCCAAAGUGGAUUAUCCUGUGAUUGAAUCUCCUUAGCACCAAGGUUUGAGAUGGGGAGUUGAUCAUUUGACUGAGACUCUUUAGUGUAUUGAAUCCAAAGUGGAUUAUCAUGUGAUUGAAUCUCCUUAACACCAAGGUUUGAGAUGAGGAGUUGAUCUUUUGACUGAGACUCUUUAGUGUAUUGAAUCCAAAGUGGAUUAUCCUGUGAUUGAAUCUCUUUAACACCAAGGUUUGAGAUGGGGAGUUGAUCAUUUGAUUGGGCCUCUUUAGUGUAUUGAAUCCAAAGUGGAUUAUCUUGUGAUGAAAUCUCCUUCGAGAUUUUAUCUUUUGAUUGAGUAUAGGUAUCAACACACGUCUCAAUGCUCACAUCUCCUCCUGCACGUUCGUUAAAGAUAUAGUUAUUUUCAAAGCAAAUUAUGUUUGCAACGGUUCAAAAUGACUUUAAUUGACCGAAUGCUUAAAUAUAGAUUAACAUUUUUUUCUUUUCCUUUACCAUAAGUUUUGAAAGUUGCCUUCUUUAGAAAUUAGAGUUAAAAGCAUAUGAAAUGAGAGUUUAUUAAAGAAUUCACAUAUAAGAAGUUAAUGAAUAAGAAUUUACUAAAUCAACGCAAUUUAGUAAACACCUAUUCAUUAAGUUCUGAUUUGUAUGAAUUCCCUCAUAAACACUCAUGUCAUUUGCUUUUGGGAAACGUCAUCAUGGAUAUAUAUAUAUAUAUAUAUAUAUGUGU